UACUUCUUAAGCACAAUGUGAAGUACAUUAUCUAUAAUUUCUCAGACUUUAUUUUAUCUUGAAGCUAAAAUCUCUCGUAUUCGUUCUUGUAGUGACAAAAUGAUUAAAAAAAGAAAAAGAGCCGUCUAUUUAAUUUUUUCUAUAAAUUCUUGUAGUUCUACAGGAGGUUUUGCUUAAAGUUCUUGGAUACCUGUUAUUUAGCAAUGGCCUGGUUCUUAAGAAACAAUACUAAUGUUUCUUUCACUCCAAUAUGUAAAGGCGGGAUAAUUUAAUUAGUAUUUCUACGUUGUAGGGGCAAGGAUGUGAGCCAGGAGAAUUUGAACCAAGGUUAUACCUAUAUCUUCGAGUCGACCUUUGACAGCACAGAAGAUAUUGCAGAAUAUGUAGCUCAUCCUGCUCAUGUCGAAUAUGCAAAUAAAUUACUCCCUAAAUUGGAGAAAGUGAUCAUCGUCGAUUACAAACCUGUUGCUGUUCAUCCCUGAGCUGAAUGCAGAACAGAAAUCAAUUAUCUUUCCACUCCUGUUCUUGUAUUUUCAUUUAUGUGUGAACCAGACUGUUUGCCUCAGCAACUUAAUAAGCUGCAGCUGGAUUAAAUAAUGCACUUUGUGGCUCAUUUGCUUUACCCCAUCUACUAUGCAGAUUAUGUUUUUAUUUUACUCAUGAAUCUUGAUCUCUUAAAAUUUCUUACAAAGUAUAUAUAUUUCUAGUUAUUUGAAUGGUCUUAAAAACAAUUAUGCUAAGCUGGCCGGAUAAGAAUUAACAGUUGUUGCUAGGUCAGGUGACCAGUGACAUAUAUAUAUUACUUUUCUGUUAUUAAAAGGUGCGAGUUACCGAUAACUUCUAGAGUGAGUCCUGAUCAGAUGGUAUCACUCUCACUUUGCUCGAAUCGAGUUAAAUUUGAUGAACAUCAACUUACUGCCAUACUUGGACAUUCGAAUGUGAACAAAGCCUUAAAAAAUCAUUUAACAUGAAAACGGAAAUUGAAAAAUUUCUGAAUAAUCUUUCAAAUAUAUUUUAACGAUUUAUAGAUUACACUCCGAUUUGACUAAAAAUUCCUGAUUUAUCAUCUGAUAAAUCUUAAAUCCUAAAUUAUUAAAUUAACCAAUUAAUUUUGAUUUCUACGAUCAUAGAAAAACCCUGUUUUACUUGAUGAUCGAAGACUGCUUCACAUAAAUUAAGGAUAAAAAGAGAGGGAAUAAAAAAAGUUAAAACCAAUUUCCGAUACAACUUUCUAAAACCAGGAACACGCAGAUAUUAUUAUUUCUCUCAAGUUUAUUAGCAGCAGGGUCAUACAAAAUCGUGUUAUUUCAUGGAUGGAACACCCAUUUCCCUAAAAUAUAUGGGUUCACCCAUAUAUUUGAGUCGACCUUUGACAGCACAGAAGGCAUUGCAGCAUAUGUUGCUCAUUCUGACCACGUUGCGCACUACAAGAAUUUCCAGUACUGCCAACAGAAAUUACCAACAAAAACUAAUCCGUUGACUGUUACUAACGAAUUACCAACGGAAUCCAAAUGUUUGAAAAGUCAACAUGAUAGUGACUAAAGCCCGCGAAAUAGACGGGAAAAGUGCCCGCCAAAACUUACCAACGGAAAUGCUAAAGGAUUUUCUAUCGGAACGUGACCUACAAAAUAGUAAUGGAAUAGCAACCGAUUAGUAACGAAUUACCAACGACCUAGUAAUGGUUACAACAAAUUUUAAAAACGCGCAUUUGCAAAUAAUUUUUUCCUAAAUUGGAGAAAGUAAUCAUUGUGGAUUACAAACCAACUGCUGUUUUUCUUUGAGCGUGCUGAAUUCAUACACAAGCAUGAAAGCACAACAGCUGCAGUAUGAGUGUAUGGCACUCACCAUGUGUUACCACAUCUGUACAUCUGCAUUCCUUCCUUAUUUGGCAAACAAAAACUGUCUCAAUGCACCCUAAAGAAUAACCAACAAGGUCGGCCCACUUGUAGGGUUGCAGUCCUGGUCCAGGGAGCCUGGCAAAGAAUUAGAUUACCUGGAAUUCGAUAUUUGUUGGAAGCCGUUCUAUCCAUUCACGAUGACUAUUUUUUCGCGCUUAAUAAAUGCAAAAAGUAUGUUACAACAUAUGUUGAUAUAUAACGCUAAAUUAUAUAAGAGCAAUGCUAGGGACGCCAAAAUUUGUCCCCAAAUUAUUUUCCCAAAUGACGUGGCAAACACAUGGCGGAAUUUGGUUGGGUGGUUUAUGUGCAUACAGGGGAUCCCAUUAUUUAUUAGUAUGAGUAUAACCAAUCACAACUUGCCACAUAGAUUUGGGAAAAAAUUUUGGGAACAAAAUUUGGGGAACUUAGCAUUUUCCAUUAUAUAAUGUAAUUUAGUCUUCAGAGAAUUUUCUCUCUCUCAUUACAUACAAAGUUCAAAAAAAAUUGGAGACAUAUUAGAGAUUUUCGUGAAGCCCAAAAAUGAGAUUUCGAGUGAAGAGGAACGUUAGAAUACAAUAUGACCAGGGUAAACCCUCCUCCUAACAUCUGAGGUUUUAGAGCAUCUUCAAGAGACUCUUAAAUGAGCUCCUAAAUUGAAAUUUGAGGAGGGAGAAAGAAAUUUUUGCUCCAAGAAACUCUUGGUAGCUCUUCAUAUCACUAAUAGCAUCUUGUUUCUCUCUCCUCUCUCCUCAAAGUUAAGAGCCACUACAAAGCUCUUAACUUAUUUUUUACAAUAAAAUAUCCAUUACCUCCGAUUACAUUUGAGUUUGUGUCAUAACAAGUCAAAAAAAAUAAAAUAUUAACGUAAGAGCAAGUAUAAAGAAUAUUGUUGGAGUUAAGACUCUUAGAUUUGUAUUAACUUACUGGGAGUCUAAUAUUUUAUAUUAUAUUUAAGAGUGGGUUAGGAGACUAUCGGAGAUGCUCUUAGAAGAACCGGUCACUUAACAUACAAAAAGAAUAUAAAAGAAUGACAUGGGAGGUUUUCAGGUAUAAAUAAGAGAGGGUGGUUUCAUCAGAUAACAAGCAAGUCCAAAGGAAGAUGGAAAACCAAAGUACAGAGGAGAAAAAGGGUGGGAAAUGUGGAGGAGAUUAUAAACACUUGGUGCUAGGAAAGUUUACACAAGAAACAACUCAACAAGAGAUAGAUGAUCUCAUCAAGGGUUAUGCCAAUCUCGUCUCUCUCGUCCCUCCCAUGAUAUCAUUUCGCUGGUACAUUACUCAUCAUCUCUUCUUACUUCUUAAGCACAAUGUGAAGUACAUUAUCUAUAAUUUCUCAGACUUUAUUUUAUCUUGAAGCUAAAAUCUCUCGUAUUCGUUCUUGUAGUGACAAAAUGAUUAAAAAAAGAAAAAGAGCCGUCUAUUUAAUUUUUUCUAUAAAUUCUUGUAGUUCUACAGGAGGUUUUGCUUAAAGUUCUUGGAUACCUGUUAUUUAGCAAUGGCCUGGUUCUUAAGAAACAAUACUAAUGUUUCUUUCACUCCAAUAUGUAAAGGCGGGAUAAUUUAAUUAGUAUUUCUACGUUGUAGGGGCAAGGAUGUGAGCCAGGAGAAUUUGAACCAAGGUUAUACCUAUAUCUUCGAGUCGACCUUUGACAGCACAGAAGAUAUUGCAGAAUAUGUAGCUCAUCCUGCUCAUGUCGAAUAUGCAAAUAAAUUACUCCCUAAAUUGGAGAAAGUGAUCAUCGUCGAUUACAAACCUGUUGCUGUUCAUCCCUGAGCUGAAUGCAGAACAGAAAUCAAUUAUCUUUCCACUCCUGUUCUUGUAUUUUCAUUUAUGUGUGAACCAGACUGUUUGCCUCAGCAACUUAAUAAGCUGCAGCUGGAUUAAAUAAUGCACUUUGUGGCUCAUUUGCUUUACCCCAUCUACUAUGCAGAUUAUGUUUUUAUUUUACUCAUGAAUCUUGAUCUCUUAAAAUUUCUUACAAAGUAUAUAUAUUUCUAGUUAUUUGAAUGGUCUUAAAAACAAUUAUGCUAAGCUGGCCGGAUAAGAAUUAACAGUUGUUGCUAGGUCAGGUGACCAGUGACAUAUAUAUAUUACUUUUCUGUUAUUAAAAGGUGCGAGUUACCGAUAACUUCCAGAGUGAGUCCUGAUCAGAUAGUAUCACUCUCACUUUGCUCGAAUCGAGUCAAAUUUGAUGAACAUCAACUUACUGCCAUACUUGGACAUUCGAAUGUGAACAAAGCCUUAAAAAAUCAUUUAACAUGAAAACAGAAAUCAAAAAAUCUCUGAUUAAUCUUUCAAAUAUUAUUUUAACGAUUUAUAGAUUACACUCCGAUUUGACAAAAAAUUCCCGAUUUAUCAAAAAAAAAACUCUGAUAAAUCUUAAAUCCUAAAUUAUCAAAUUAACCAAUUAAUUCCGAUUUCUACGAUCAUAGAAAAACCCUGUUUUACUUGAUGAUCGAAGACUGCUUCACAUAAAUUAAGGAUAAAAAGAGAGGGAAUAAAAAAAGUUAAAACCAAUUUCCGAUACAACUUUCUAAAACCAGGAACACGCAGAUAUUAUUAUUUCUCUCAAGUUUAUUAGCAGCAGGGUCAUACAAAAUGGUGUUAUUUCAUGGAUGGAACACCCAUUUUCCUAAAAUAUAUGGGUUCACCCAUAUAUUUGAGUCGACCUUCGACAGCACAGAAGGCAUUGCAGCAUAUGUUGCUCAUUCUGACCACGUUGCGCACUACAAGAAUUUCCAGUACUACCGACAUAAAUUACCAACAAAAACUAAUCCGUUGACUGUUACUAACGAAUUACCAAUGGAAUGGAAUAUUUUGUUGGCGAAAUAGGCGGGAAAAGUGCCCGCCAAAACUUACCAACGGAAAUGCUAAAGGAUUUUCUAUCGGAACGUGACCAACAAAAUAGUAAUGGAAUAGCAACCGAUUAGUAACGAAUUACCAAGUACCAACGACCUAGUAAUGGUUACAACAAAUUUUAAAAACGCGCGUUUGCAAAUAAUUUUUUCCUAAAUUGGAGAAAGUAAUCACUGUGGAUUACAAACCAACUGCUGUUUUUCUUUGAGCGUGCUGAAUUCAUACACAAGCAUGAAAGCACAACAGCUGCAGUGAGUGUAUGGCACUCACCAUGUGUUACCACAUCUGUACAUCUGCGAUUCCUUACUUAUUUGGCAAACAAAAACUGUCUCAAUGCACGGCAUCUCCAAUAGGGGGCUAACUAAAGUUGCUUAAAAUAACAAAUCUUUAAAAAUAUUACUAUUUUAUUUUCUCUCUCUUUGGGCAACUUUUACAUAAAAAUUUGCUCCAAUGGUUGGCACCCAAAGUUGCCACAUAUUUGUACAAGUAUAAUUAUAACAAGAUAUGAAACUAAAUGACUUUAGGGUGAUUUAUACACUUUUUUCUAUUUUAGGAGGGUACCAAAAGCUGGCAACUUUGCUUGGCACUCCUUCCACUCCAAUGGAGAGCCAACAAGAGUGCCAUGCCACAUCAUGACACAUGGCACUUUAGCACUCUUUUUGACACCCUCAUUGGAGUUGCUCAUAACCAACAAGGUCAGCCCACUUGUAGGGUUGCAGUCCUGGUCCAGGGAGCCUGGCAAAGAAUUAGAUUGCCUGGAAUUCGAUAUUUGUUGGAAGCCGUUCUAUCCAUUCACGAUGACUAUUUUUUCGCGCUUAAUAAAUGCAAAAAGUAUGUUACAACAUAUGUUGAUAUAUAACGCUAAAUUAUAUAAUGUAAUUUAGUCUUCAGAGAAUUUUCUCUCUCUCAUUACAUACAAAGUUCAAAAAAAAUUGGAGACAUAUAUUAGAGAUUUUCAUGAAGCCCAAAAAUGAGAUUGAGUGAGGAGGAACAUUAGAAUACAAUAUGACUGGGGUAAACCCUCCUCCUAACAUCUGAGGUUUUGGAGAACCGGUCACUUAACAUACAAAACGAAUAUAAAAGAAUGACAUGGGAGGUUUUCAGGUAUAAAUAAGAGAGGGUGGUUUCAUCAGAUAACAAGCAAGUCCAAAGGAAGAUGGAAAACCAAAGUACAGAGGAGAAAAAGGGUGGGAAAUGUGGAGGAGAUUAUAAACACUUGGUGCUAGGAAAGUUUACACAAGAAACAACUCAACAAGAGAUAGAUGAUCUCAUCAAGGGUUUUGCCAAUCUCGUCUCUCUCGUCCCUCCCAUGAUAUCAUUUCGCUGGUACAUUAUUACACACCAUCUCUUCUUAGUUCUUUCCCUUCAUUUUACUGUUUUUUAUGACCACCGCGAUUAUAUUAAGCACAAUGUGAAGUACAUUAUCUAUAAUUUCUCAGAGUUUAUUUUAUCUUGAAGCUGAAAUCUCUCGUAUUCGUUCUUGUAGUUACCAAAUGAUAAAAAAAAAAAAAAAAUCUAUAAAUUCUUGUAGUUCUACAGGAGGUUCUGCUGAAAGUUCUUGGAUACCUAUUAUUUAGCAAUGGCCUGGUUUUUAAGAAACAAUUCUAAUGUUUCUUUCGCUCCAAUAUGUAAAGGCGAGAUAAUUUAAUUAGUAUUUCUACAUUGUAGGGGCAAGGAUGUGAGCCAGGAGAAUUUGAACCAAGGUUAUACCCAUAUUUUCGAGUCGACCUUUGACAGCACAGAAGAUAUUGCAGAAUAUCUGGCUCAUCCUGCUCAUGUCGAAUAUGCAAAUAAAUUACUCCCUAAAUUGGAGAAAGUCCUCGUCGUCGAUUACAAACCCGUUGCUGUUCAUCCCUCAGCUGAAUGCAGGACAGAAAUUGAUUAUUAUUUCACUCCUGUUCUUGUAUUUUCAUUUAUGUGUGAACCAGACUGUUUGCCUCAGCAACUUAAUAAGCUGCAGCUGGAUUGAAUAAUGCACUUUGUGGCUCACUUGCUUUACCCCAUCUACUAUGCAGAUUAUGUUUUUAUUUUACUCA
This 6770-nucleotide long non-coding RNA is filed under the name Daucus carota (carrot). RNAcentral describes it as "long non-coding RNA (DCAR_LNC000536)". Lineage: Eukaryota; Viridiplantae; Streptophyta; Magnoliopsida; Apiales; Apiaceae. The record is from RNAcentral.